RNAcentral lists this ribosomal RNA (442 nucleotides) under uncultured bacterium. Its description in RNAcentral is "partial 16S ribosomal RNA". It matches the Rfam family "Bacterial small subunit ribosomal RNA", at positions 338 to 795 of the family's 1533-position model. The record is from RNAcentral.
CCUACGGGAGGCUGCAGUAGGGAAUCUUUCACAAUGGGCGAAAGCCUGAUGGAGCAACGCCGCGUGCAGGAUGAAGGCCUUCGGGUUGUAAACUGCUUUUAUAAGCGAGCAAUCUGAUGGUAACUUAUGAAUAAGGAUCGUCUAACUACGUGCCAGCAGCCGCGGUCAUACGUAGGAUCCGAGCAUUAUCCGGAGUGACUGGGUGUAAAGAGUUGCGUAGGUGGCAUAAUAAGUAGCUAGUGAAAUCUGGUGGCUCAACCAUUCAGACUAUUAGCUAAACUGUUAAGCUCGAGACCGUUAGGGGUAACGGGAAUUUCUAGUGUAUGAGUGAAAUCCGUAGAUAUUAGAAGGAACACCAAUAGCGUAGGCAGGUUGCUGGGACGGUUCUGACACUAAGGCACGAAAGCGUAGGGAGCAAACGGGAUUAGAUACCCCAGUAGUC